This 433-nucleotide ribosomal RNA is filed under the name uncultured bacterium. RNAcentral describes it as "partial 16S ribosomal RNA". It matches the Rfam family "Bacterial small subunit ribosomal RNA", at positions 29 to 507 of the family's 1533-position model. The record is from RNAcentral.
AAUGAACGCUGGCGGCAUGCCUAACACAUGCAAGUCGAACGAAGGCUUCGGCCUUAGUGGCGCACGGGUGCGUAACGCGUGGGAAUCUGCCCCUUGGUUCGGAAUAACAGUUAGAAAUGACUGCUAAUACCGGAUGAUGACGUAAGUCCAAAGAUUUAUCGCCGAGGGAUGAGCCCGCGUAGGAUUAGCUAGUUGGUGUGGUAAGAGCGCACCAAGGCGACGAUCCUUAGCUGGUCUGAGAGGAUGAUCAGCCACACUGGGACUGAGACACGGCCCAGACUCCUACGGGAGGCAGCAGUGGGGAAUAUUGGACAAUGGGCGAAAGCCUGAUCCAGCAAUGCCGCGUGAGUGAUGAAGGCCUUAGGGUUGUAAAGCUCUUUUACCCGGGACGAUAAUGACAGUACCGGGAGAAUAAGCUCCGGCUAACUCCGUG